Non-coding RNA from Chrysemys picta bellii (western painted turtle), 284 nucleotides. Lineage: Eukaryota; Metazoa; Chordata; Testudines; Emydidae. The record is from RefSeq and is a predicted model, not a curated record.
AAGGAGAAGGAUGUCCUGCUGGUUCCAGAGCAGCCUGAAGUGGAUUCCCCACCUAGCUCAGUCCACGGCCCCAAAUGCGGAUGAUGACUGGUCUGGAGUGCCCGCUACUGUUUACCCGGAGGAGCUGGACAAUGCCUGGACACCAGAGGUUAUUGGUGAACUGAACGGGAAAAAAUAUAGAGGAUGUCAUUGCUCAGGGUAACGGCAAACUUGCCAGCAUGCCAGUUGGUGGAGCUGUAGCAGUCUCAGCUGGACCAGGUUCUGCUGCACCUGCUGUUGGUGAG